Selaginella moellendorffii is the source of this 421-nucleotide long non-coding RNA. RefSeq lists it as uncharacterized. The transcript has 4 exons. The record is from RefSeq and is a predicted model, not a curated record. NCBI's taxonomy places the organism in Eukaryota, Viridiplantae, Streptophyta, Lycopodiopsida, Selaginellales, Selaginellaceae.
AUGGCGAUGGCGAUGGCGAUGGCGAUGGGCGCGGGCGGUAGUAGGGCUCCGGACAUUAAAACUUGGGACGAACGCGAUUUUUAACAUCUGCGCUUGCGGGAAGAACAUUAGUCUCUCGUUCGCAAACGCAAAGAGAGAGAGCGUCGUCCUUGUCGCCAACAGAGGAAAUACGCAGCGAAAAGAGGAGGAAGAAAAAAUUAGGAAAUCAAAAACUAAUGGAAGUCUUUGGAGAGGUCACAACUUGGAAAGAGAUUUGUGACUUAAAUUGUCGCUCAAGAACAGCCAGGCGUGUGCCAGCCAGCCAUCACGCAUGAAUAAUGCUUCCUCUCCCAGCUUCGAAGCUCCAGAACACGCAAGAUUUGUCCACAGGGUUUGACAUUCAUUGGUUUUAAAGUUUUGACACACUCGACUCCACUUCAAC